UCGCUGCCCGGAACUGAGCCGUUUCGAGAAGAACAGGGACUGCCGGUUGGUAGCCUUUCACGGGGCUGCCUCUCGGUGGAAACUGUUUUAAUCGGUAUGGCUUGAACCGGGCAA
This 114-nucleotide ribosomal RNA is filed under the name uncultured eukaryote. RNAcentral's name for it is "partial small subunit ribosomal RNA". The record is from RNAcentral.